Non-coding RNA from Papio anubis (olive baboon), 65 nucleotides. Lineage: Eukaryota; Metazoa; Chordata; Mammalia; Primates; Cercopithecidae. The record is from Rfam.
AGCAGAGUAGUGAAGUGUACAGCCUCUGGAGAUGUACUCCCCAGGUUCAAAUCCUGGCUCUGCUG